RNAcentral lists this ribosomal RNA (491 nucleotides) under uncultured bacterium. RNAcentral's name for it is "partial 16S ribosomal RNA". It matches the Rfam family "Bacterial small subunit ribosomal RNA", at positions 28 to 507 of the family's 1533-position model. The record is from RNAcentral.
GAUGAGCGCUGGCUACAGGCUUAACACAUGCCAGUCGAGGGGAAACGACGGGGAAGCUUGCUUCCCCGGGCGUCGACCGGCGCACGGGUGAGUAACGCGUAUCCAACCUGCCUCUGACUGAGGGAUAACCCGUCGAAAGUCGGCCUAAUACCUCAUGGCAUCGUCUGCGGGCAUCCAACGACGAUUAAAGAUUUCAUCGGUCAGGGAGGGGGAUGCGUCUGAUUAGCUUGUUGGCGGGGUAACGGCCCACCAAGGCUACGAUCAGUAGGGGUUCUGAGAGGAAGGUCCCCCACAUUGGAACUGAGACCCGGUCCAAACUCCUACGGGAGGCAGCAGUGAGGAAUAUUGGUCAAUGGGCGGGAGCCUGAACCAGCCAAGUAGCGUGCAGGAUGACGGCCCUAUGGGUUGUAAACUGCUUUUAGGCGGGGAUAAAGUGAGGGACGUGUCCUUCAUUGCAGGUACCGCAUGAAUAAGGACCGGCUAAUUCCGUG